AGAGUUUGAUCCUGGCUCAGGACGAACGCUGGCGGCGUGCCUAACACAUGCAAGUCGAACGGACGAGGGGAGCUUGCUCCCCAAGUUAGUGGCGGACGGGUGAGUAACACGUGAGCAACCUGCCCUUCGGAGGGGGACAACAGCGGGAAACUGCUGCUAAUACCGCAUAACGUAUUCUGGAGGCAUCUCCGGAAUACCAAAGAUUUUAUCGCCGAAGGAUGGGCUCGCGUCUGAUUAUAUAGUUGGUGGGGCUAGCGCGCCCACCCCGUCUGCAAUCACUAGCCGGACUGAGAGGUUGAACGGCCACACUGGGACUGAGAUACUGCCCAGACUCCUACGGGAGGCUGCAGUCGAGAAUCAUUCGCAAUGGGCGAAAGCCUGACGGUGCGACGUCGCGUGGAGGACGAAGGUCUUCGGAUUGUAAACUCCUGUCAUGAGGGAUAAACGGCCCCGUGGCGAACAGCCAUGGGGAGUGAUAGUACCUCAGGAGGAAGAGACGGCUAACUCUGUGCCAGCAGCCGCGGUAAUACAGAGGUCUCGAGCGUUGUUCGGAUUUACUGGGCGUAAAGGGAGCGUAGGCGGCCGCGUGUGUCGAAUGUGAAAUACCGCAACUCAACGGCGGAACGGCAUUCGAAACUGCGCGGCUGGAGUACCGGAGAGGAAGGCGGAAUUCUUGGUGUAGCGGUGAAAUGCGUAGAUAUCAAGAAGAACACCGAUGGCGAAGGCAGCCUUCUGGACGGAUACUGACGCUGAGGCUCUAAAGUCAGGGGAGCAAACAGGAUUAGAUACCCUGGUAGUCCUGACCAUAAACGGUGUGCACUUGGUGUGCGGGGAAUUGUCCCUCCGCGCGCCGUAGCCAACGCGUUAAGUGCACCGCCUGGGGAGUACGUCCGCAAGGUUAAAACUCAAAGGAAUUGACGGGGACCCGCACAAGCGGUGGAGCAUGUGGCUUAAUUCGAUGCAACGCGAAGAACCUUACCUGGACUUGACAUGCAGGUGGUAGGGAACCGAAAGGGGACCGACGGCGGCAACGCCGAGCCUGCACAGGUGCUGCAUGGCUGUCGUCAGCUCGUGCUGUGAGGUGUUGGGUUAAGUCCCGCAACGGGCGCAACCCCUGUGGCUAGUUGCCAUCAUUCAGUUGGGCACUCUAGCCAGACUGCCUGUGAUAAGCAGGAGGAAGGUGGGGAUGACGUCAAGUCAGUAUGGUCCUUAUGUCCAGGGCUGCACACGUGCUACAAUGACCGGUACAGAAGGAAGCGAAGCCGCGAGGCGGAGCGGACCCCCAAAACCGGUCCCAGUUCGGAUUGGAGUCUGCAACCCGACUCCAUGAAGCCGGAAUCGCUAGUAACGGCGUAUCAGCUACGACGCCGUGAAUACGUUCCUCGGGUCUUGCACACACCGCCCGUCA
This 1408-nucleotide ribosomal RNA is filed under the name uncultured bacterium. RNAcentral describes it as "bacterial SSU rRNA". It matches the Rfam family "Bacterial small subunit ribosomal RNA". The record is from RNAcentral.